ACUCGGCCGUUUGGCGGGAGGGAGGGGCUUUGCGCAGGCCCCGCUCCCGCCCCGCCUCCAUGCGGCCCGCCCCGAUUGCGCUGUGGCUGCGCCUGGUCUUGGCCCUGGCCCUCGUCCGCCCCCGGGCUGUGGGGUGGGCCCCUGUCCGAGCCCCCAUCUAUGUCAGCAGCUGGGCCGUCCGGGUGUCCCAGGGUAACCGGGAGGUCGAGCACCUGGCACGCAAAUUCGGCUUCGUCAACCUGGGGCCGAUCUUCCCUGACGGGCAGUACUUUCACCUGCGGCACCGGGGCGUGGUCCAGCAGUCCCUGACCCCGCACUGGGGCCACCGCCUGCACCUGAAGAAAAACCCCAAGGUGCAGUGGUUCCAGCAGCAGACGCUGCAGCGGCGGGUGAAGCGCUCUGUGGUGGUGCCCACAGACCCCUGGUUCUCCAAGCAGUGGUACAUGAACAGCGAGGCCCAACCAGACCUGAGUGUCCUGCAGGCCUGGAGUCACGGGCUGUCAGGCCAGGGCAUCGUGGUCUCUGUGCUGGAUGACGGCAUCGAGAAGGACCACCCGGACCUCUGGGCCAACUACGACCCCCUGGCCAGCUACGACUUUAAUGACUACGACCCGGACCCCCAGCCCCGCUACACCCCCAGCAAAGAGAACCGGUGUGCGGAUGCUGGACGGUACCAUCACCGAUGUCAUCGAGGCCCAGUCGCUGAGCCUGCAGCCGCAGCACAUCCACAUUUACAGCGCCAGCUGGGGUCCCGAGGACGACGGCCGCACGGUGGACGGCCCCGGCAUCCUCACCCGUGAGGCCUUCCGGCGUGGCGUGACCAAGGUGAGUGGCAGCCUGAGGAGGGCAGGGGUGGCAGGCCAGGCCGACACCCUCUCCCCGCCCCUCCUGGUUUCCCAGGGCCGCGGCGGGCUGGGCACGCUCUUCAUCUGGGCCUCGGGCAACGGCGGCCUGCACUACGACAACUGCAACUGCGACGGCUACACCAACAGCAUCCAUACGCUCUCCGUGGGCAGCACCACCCAGCAGGGCCGCGUGCCCUGGUACAGCGAAGCCUGUGCCUCCACCCUCACCACCACCUACAGCAGCGGCGUGGCCACCGACCCCCAGAUCGUCACCACGGACCUGCAUCACCGGUGCACGGACCAGCACACGGGCACCUCGGCCUCAGCCCCACUGGCAGCCGGCAUGAUCGCCCUAGCGCUGGAGGCCAAGUAGGUGACUGUGGGGCCCCGCCCACCGCCCUCGCCCCCAGGCGCGGCCCAGCGGCUCACCCGCCCCCGCCCCCCGCAGCCCGUUCCUGUCGUGGAGAGACAUGCAGCACCUGGUGGUCCGCGCGUCCAAGCCGGCGCACCUGCAGGCAGAAGACUGGAGGACCAACGGCGUGGGGCGCCAAGGUGCGGCGGGGCCGGGCGGGGGCGGGGACCCCGGGCCCACGGGGCGAGUGACUGCUGCCCUUCCGCGCAGUGAGCCAUCACUACGGCUACGGGCUGCUGGACGCCGGGCUGCUGGUGGACACCGCCCGCACCUGGCUGCCCACCCAACCGCAGAGGAAGUGUGCCGUCCGGGUCCAGAACCGCCCCACCCCCAUCCUGCCGCUGAUCUACAUCAGGAAAAAUGUAUCGGCCUGCGCCGGCCUCCACAACUCCAUCCGCUCGCUGGAGCACGUGCAGGCGCAGCUGACGCUGUCCUACAGCCGGCGCGGAGACCUGGAGAUCUCGCUCACCAGCCCCAUGGGCACGCGCUCCACACUAGUGGCCAUACGACCCUUGGACGUCAGCACUGAAGGCUACAACAACUGGGUGUUCAUGUCCACCCACUUCUGGGAUGAGAACCCACAGGGCGUGUGGACCCUGGGCCUGGAGAACAAGGGCUACUAUUUCAACACGGGGACGUUGUACCGCUACACGCUGCUGCUCUAUGGGACGGCCGAGGACAUGACAGCACGGCCUACA
Molecule: small RNA, 1955 nt
Filed under: Pongo abelii (Sumatran orangutan)
Lineage: Eukaryota; Metazoa; Chordata; Mammalia; Primates; Hominidae
Description: retained intron
Source: RNAcentral